Molecule: small nuclear RNA, 107 nt
Organism: Mustela putorius furo (domestic ferret)
Lineage: Eukaryota; Metazoa; Chordata; Mammalia; Carnivora; Mustelidae
Source: Ensembl
GUGCUCGCUUCGGCCACACUUAUACUAAAAUUGGAACAAUACAGAGAAGAUUAGCAUAGCCCCUGUGCUAGCAUGAUAUACAAAUUCGUGAAGCGUUCCAUAUUUUG